RNAcentral lists this long non-coding RNA (328 nucleotides) under Paramuricea clavata. The record is from RNAcentral. Lineage: Eukaryota; Metazoa; Cnidaria; Anthozoa; Malacalcyonacea; Plexauridae.
CAGUGGCGUAACGUUAUAUCAGGGGGCCCCCGGUUCAAAAUUUUCGAAGGCCCCCCUAGUAGAAGUGCCAAAGGCACAAGUCGAGCGCCGUAUAUGCACAAGUUCUCUAGGGGGUCCAGGGCAUGCUCAUCCGGAAAAUUUUUGAAUCUAGACUCCCUGAAAUGCCAUUUCCUGGACUUUGGGGAGAGAUUUUACACAAUUCUGAUGGUCAUAAAACGACAUUGUAACAUAUCAAUGUUUUUGCUCUAUUGCCUAAGCCUGGGGGCCCCCAUUUGGGUUGGGGGCCCCCGGGUUCUCCCGGUCUGAGCCCAUAGUAGUUACGCCACUG